This 66-nucleotide transfer RNA is filed under the name Saldula arsenjevi. RNAcentral's name for it is "tRNA-Leu". Lineage: Eukaryota; Metazoa; Arthropoda; Insecta; Hemiptera; Saldidae. The record is from RNAcentral.
UCUAAUAUGGCAGAAUAAAUGCAAUGAAUUUAAGCCUCAUAUAUAAAGAAUAAUCUUUUUUUAGAA